This 275-nucleotide ribosomal RNA is filed under the name uncultured bacterium. Its description in RNAcentral is "partial 16S ribosomal RNA". It matches the Rfam family "Bacterial small subunit ribosomal RNA", at positions 338 to 605 of the family's 1533-position model. The record is from RNAcentral.
CCUACGGGUGGCUGCAGUGGGGAAUUUUGGACAAUGGGGGCAACCCUGAUCCAGCCAUGCCGCGUGAGUGAAGAAGGCCUUCGGGUUGUAAAGCUCUUUCGGACGGAACGAAAUCGUUUGGACUAAUACUCUGAGCGGAUGACGGUACCGUACUAAGAAGCACCGGCUAACUACGUGCCAGCAGCCGCGGUAAUACGUAGGGUGCAAGCGUUAAUCGGAAUUACUGGGCGUAAAGCGUGCGCAGGCGGUUUCGUAAGCUGGAGGUGAAAUCCCCG